AGGAUAAACGCUGGCGGCGUGCCUAACACAUGCAAGUCGAACGCCCUUUUGCUCGCAAGAGCCAGAGGGAGUGGCGGACGGGUGAGUAACACAUGGGUAACCUACCCCCCAGUGAGGAAUACCGGCGAGAAAAUCGCCGACAAGACCGCAUAGGCUCGGUCCGGUGAAGCGGAGCGAGCAAAGUCUCUUUUUUGAGAAAGAGGGAGACGCUGAGGGAUGGGCCUGUGGCCGAUUAGCUGGUUGGUAAGGUAAAGGCUUACCAAGGCGACGAUCGGUAGCUGGUCUGAGAGGACGAACAGCCACACUGGGAUUGAGAACGGCCAGACUCCUACGGGGGGCAGCAGUGAGGAAUUUUCCGCAAUGGACGCAAGUCUGACGGAGCAACGCCGCGUGCAGGAGGACGCGUUUUCGGAGUGUAAACUGCUUUUCUGUGGGACGAGCGAGGACGGUACCACGAGGAAGAACGCCCCGGCUAACUACGUGCCAGCAGCCGCGGU
Molecule: ribosomal RNA, 497 nt
Filed under: uncultured bacterium
Lineage: Bacteria
Description: SSU rRNA
Rfam family: Bacterial small subunit ribosomal RNA
Source: RNAcentral